CCUUAUGGGAGGGCGAAUAUAAAUUGCAGAAAUAAAAGUUUGAUCUGUAUUCAAAGCGGAGAAAACCUUGAAACUGUAGAAAAAGGGGGGUGCAUUUUUAAAAAUCUUCUUCUCAAGAACUACCGAGGCAAAUUCAACAUAGUUUAGCAUAAAUUAUCCUUAUGGGAAGGAAAAUAUAAAUUGCAAAAAUUAAGUGGAAAUUUUGUUUCAAAUCUGAGUUAUUACGAAAAUAAUAAUAAAGGAAAUGCGUGUUUCAAUCAGUUUAAUAGCUUCGGGUUAGGCAUCCGGUAAAAUGAUUCCAUACUUCUAAAACGAGGUUCUUUGUUUAAAGCAGCCAUGACAUUAUACGAAAAAGGGUCGAUCUGACUAUGAUGAAUUUGCUUGUUGUGCAACAGUUCGCGUAUGAAGGGAAAUUUUGAAACAUACAAAAUAUAUUGGUGCCGAUUUUGUGAAGUAAAUUGAGGCUAAAUAUUUCAAUGCGUUGACAGUUUUCACACAUGACGUUGGUGUUAGCUUGUUCUGAUUUUCGUUUCGUUCUCAUUAUGCUUUGUAACCUGGAAACUAUCGUCUGUAUUUCGUGAUUUUUACGUAUCAAAUCAAACAGAGACUUCGGUAAAUCAAACAGUUAACUGUUUACCUGCGCAAAUUAAGCAAAAUCGGAUGUAGGGGACGGGUACUGAAAUACAAUUCAUUCUAUCGGUAAUUCGGCAUUAUCUUUUGCGUAAUGGUACAUGUAGAUUAAUGCAAUAGGUUUUGUUGAGAUGCUCGGCAUUUUUUCGAGUUUAUUCAGUUUAAAUAGAGUUUGAUAUCGCUGACGGAAAUAUGUAGGUAUAUACAUGUAUAUAUAUAUGAUUCAUUUCGAAAAAAUAAAUUGUGUUCUUUAUUUGUUAUACAUGUAGUGCAUGUUUCUUGUGUUUAAUUGUUUACAAUUUCUAUUUACUAACCAUAUUUGAGUGUUAAGCUUCGAAUUAUAAGCAAGAUACAGCGAUUUGCUCACAAUUCUAUGUUUGUACACAGAUCUUAAAAACUAAAGCUUAAAAAAGUAAAAUAUUUGUCAAUAUUUAUUAAGAAAAUUUUCAAAGUCUGUUCUUCCAGAAACCAACUUUAACAACUUAUUGUAUUGUAAACUUAACCUUUUUAGCUCACCUGAGGGUGGGGCCACAAUGGGGGAUCGAAGUUUAAAAUAGGAAUAUAUAGAGUAAAUCUUUAAAAAUCUUCUUCUUAGAAACUAAUCAGCCAGGAAAGCUGACACUUUUGUGGAUGCAUCCUCAGGUAGUGUAAAUUCAUAGUUGUGAAAAUCAUGACCCCCGGGGGAAGGGUGGGGCCACAAUCGGGGAUCGAAGUUAAACAUAGGAAUAUAUAGAGUAAAUCUUUAAAAAUCUUCUUCUCAGAAACUAAUCAGCCGGCAAUGCUGAAACUUCUUUGGAAGCAUCCUCAGGUAGUGUUGAUUCAAAGUUGUGAAAAUAAUAACCCCUGGGGGUAGAAUGGGGCCACAAUGGGGGGUCGAAGUUUAACAUAUGAUUAAAUAGAGUAAAUCUUUAAAAAUCUUCUUCUCAGAAACUAAUUAGCCAGGAAAGCUGAAACUUGUGUGGAAGCAUCCUCAGGUAGUGUAGAUUCAAAUUUGUGAAAAUCAUAACCCUGGGGGUAGGUUUGGGCCACAAUGGGAGGUCGAUGUUUUAGAUAGGAAUAAACAGAGUAAAUCUUUAAAAAUCUUCUUCUCAGAAACUAAUCAGCCAGGAAAGCUGAAACGUGUGUGAAAGCAUCCUCAGGUAGUGUAGAUUCAUGGUUGUGAAAAUCAUGAUCCCCAGGGGUAGGGUGGGGCCACAAUGGGGGGGGGGGGUCAAAAUUUAACAAAGGAAUAUAUAGGGUAAAUCUUUAAAAAUCUUCUCAGAAACUAAUCAGCCAGAUGUUUCUUUAUAAUUGUUAAGACUUUGGCCCCAGGACAAUUCUUUGGCCUCCCGAGAAGGUUCAUAGUUUGAUGUACGUUUAUAUCUAAUAUAUAAACUAUUGUUAAGGAUCAUUUUGAGAACUGCAAUACUCAACAUAUGAUAAGACUAUAAAAUCAUCUUGUUAGAAAAGGGACUAAUGAUUAUAAACAUAAGAAUAUCCAGGGGAAAAUGGAUUUUAUUUAUACAGGAUCUACAUGUAUUAUUGUACAUUGUCCAGAUAGUUUGUAUUAUGACUCCAUUAAGCUGAUUUUAUCAUACCUAUUGUUCCUCAGGUGAGCGAUGUGGCCCAUGGGCCUCUUGUUGAAUCUCUGUUAAGUAAUAAAUAUUGAUAAGAAUCUCUUUUUAUAUUUUUUACCAAUAUUGUUAUCAAUAUUUGUUUUGAUUUUAUAGUUUGAUGUGGAUCUUUGUUUAUAUUUUAACAAAUAUUGAUAUAUUUUUUUUUUAUAUUAAACAAAUAUUAAAUGUAACCUUAGUGUAGCUACUAUAUAUACAUGUUCUUGUAUACUCAGGCAAAACAAACAAAAAAGCAUUAAAUAGCAACUAUAUAUAUAUAUUGUCUCAUAAUGUGAAUCUAAAACACAUGUCACAAUUUAUUUUUUUAUUACAGUUUUGUGAUUUUCCUAUACUUUUACCAAAACACAAAGAAUUGCCUCAACCUUUUGUAUUAGCCAAAAAAAUUACAUUUAUAUUUAUACCUGCUUUCUUUCUACUACAAUCCAUAUUAUUUUAAUGGUUUAAUGUUUAACUUUUAUUAGUGCCGUCUGGUUGGUCUAGUUUAAAUGACAAAAAAUGUGUCAAAUAUCUUCGUCAGUUGCUUUUAUGAUUUUUUUUGUGUUUAAAUAGUCAAAAUCCGGGGAUGAACCUCAGCGGCUCUCAGAUCCCAUGUUGUAUAAAAUUAUUUUGAUAAAAUGAAAUAUAUCGGAAAGGACACUUGCCAUUUGCAGCAUGCACUUUAUUUUGUGCCUAGCUGCUCCGCUUUGAUAGGAUAGAACAUUUUUUUUACUAUAUGAAUCUCUCAUUUUGUUUCUUAGCAUAGCAUACUCUAUAAAAUGACACAAGUUAGCAUGAUAGGCGAUCCAUUUCAAUGGAAUAGAGUGGUGCUUGUAUUUAUGUGCUGAUGUUUUUUUUUUUAAUUUUAUUUUUUAUUCAUGACUAUUAGAUUUACUUUAAUGAUGUUUUUUCAAGUCUUCAAAGGUGCUAGAAUAAAUAAAAUGUAGAUUUGAAUGUUAUUAGAAAUGUAUUAUUUGGAAAAGGAAAAACAAAAUAAAUAUGGUAGUUGUUUAUACUUUAAAUGUUGAUUAAUAAAAUUUCAUGUAUCAGUU
Molecule: long non-coding RNA, 3271 nt
Organism: Magallana angulata
Lineage: Eukaryota; Metazoa; Mollusca; Bivalvia; Ostreida; Ostreidae
Exons: 2
Source: RefSeq, a predicted model, not a curated record